This is a small nucleolar RNA of Arachis stenosperma, 85 nucleotides long. RefSeq annotates it as small nucleolar RNA SNORD96 family. Lineage: Eukaryota; Viridiplantae; Streptophyta; Magnoliopsida; Fabales; Fabaceae. The record is from RefSeq and is a predicted model, not a curated record. The transcript has a single exon.
AUGCCAAUGAUGAUAUCAAACACCAAAUACCAUCUUUCGGGACUGAAAUUGUCUUUGAUGUUAUCAUUCUGCAAUUCUGAGGCUC